CCUACGGGGGGCUGCAGUGGGGAAUUUUGGACAAUGGGCGCAAGCCUGAUCCAGCCAUUCCGCGUGAGUGAAGAAGGCCUUCGGGUUGUAAAGCUCUUUCGCAAGGGAAGAAAACUUAUCCUCUAACAUAGGAUGAGGUUGACGGUACCUUGAUAAGAAGCACCGGCUAACUACGUGCCAGCAGCCGCGGUAAUACGUAGGGUGCGAGCGUUAAGCAAAGUUACUGGGCGUAGUGCUGUAAGAGGCAGUUGAAAGCCCCGAGCUCAACUUGGGAACUGCGGUUGAAACUACAAGACUAGAAUAGGUCAGAGGGGGGUAGAAUUCCACGUGUAGCAGUGAAAUGCGUAGAGAUGUGGAGGAAUAUCAAUGGCGAAGGCAGCCCCCUGGGAUCAUAUUGACGCUCAUGCACGAAAGCGUGGGGAGCAAACAGGAUUAGAUACCCUUGUAGUC
This 450-nucleotide ribosomal RNA is filed under the name uncultured bacterium. RNAcentral describes it as "partial 16S ribosomal RNA". It matches the Rfam family "Bacterial small subunit ribosomal RNA", at positions 338 to 795 of the family's 1533-position model. The record is from RNAcentral.